ACUAACAACAAACAAAUUUGAUUAUGAAAGAUACAACCAAUAUGUUUCAAGUUACGCAGACUAAAAGGAAACAAAGUUGUAAUUAGCCAUGACUAAAGUGAAAGAAACUAACGAAUAUGCUUCAUGCUACUUUUAGCCCAUAACUCUUUUGACAACCAUAUUCCACAAGAGGAUCAACAAGAAGAUAGCACUACAACAUGUAUGAGGAUCACUUUGACCCCUCAAUAUUCAUAGAGGCAGAACACAAGAAAUCUGAUGUCUAAAUGGGGUCCAUGUCCCUUUUAAUACGGAAUAUCCAUACUAAC
This 305-nucleotide long non-coding RNA is filed under the name Nicotiana benthamiana. RNAcentral describes it as "long non-coding RNA (NBEN_LNC027099)". The record is from RNAcentral. Lineage: Eukaryota; Viridiplantae; Streptophyta; Magnoliopsida; Solanales; Solanaceae.